This 406-nucleotide ribosomal RNA is filed under the name uncultured bacterium. RNAcentral describes it as "partial 16S ribosomal RNA". It matches the Rfam family "Bacterial small subunit ribosomal RNA", at positions 30 to 526 of the family's 1533-position model. The record is from RNAcentral.
AUUGAACGCUGGCGGCAGGCCUAACACAUGCAAGUCGAGCGAGCGGCGGACGGGUGAGUAAUGUCUGGGAAACUGCCUGAUGGGGGGGGAUAACUACAGGAAACGGUAUCCAAUACCGCAUACCAUCAGAUGUGCCCAUAUGGGAUUAGCUCGUGGGUGGGGUAACGGCCCACCUCGGCGACGAUCCCGAGCUGGUCUGAGAGGAUGAGCAGCCACACUGGAACUGAGACACGGCCCAGACUCCUACGGGAGGCAGCAGUGGGGAAUAUUGCACAAUGGGCGCAAGCCUGAUGCAGCCAUGCCGCGUGUGUGAAGAAGGCCUUCGGGUUGUAAAGUACUUUCAGCGGGGAGGCGUUACCCGCAGAAGAAGCACCGGCUAACUCCGUGCCAGCAGCCGCGGUAAUUC